Molecule: ribosomal RNA, 492 nt
Filed under: uncultured bacterium
Lineage: Bacteria
Description: partial 16S ribosomal RNA
Rfam family: Bacterial small subunit ribosomal RNA
Source: RNAcentral
AGUGAACGCUGGCGGUAGGCCUAACACAUGCAAGUCGAACGGCAGCACAGUAAGAGCUUGCUCUUACGGGUGGCGAGUGGCGGACGGGUGAGGAAUACAUCGGAAUCUACUUUUUCGUGGGGGAUAACGUAGGGAAACUUACGCUAAUACCGCAUACGACCUACGGGUGGAAGCAGGGGAUCUUCGGACCUUGCGCGAUUGAAUGAGCCGAUGUCGGAUUAGCUAGUUGGCGGGGUAAAGGCCCACCAAGGCGACGAUCCGUAGCUGGUCUGAGAGGAUGAUCGGCCACACUGGAACUGAGACACGGUCCAGACUCCUACGGGAGGCAGCAGUGGGGAAUAUUGGACAAUGGGCGCAAGCCUGAUCCAGCCAUACCGCGUGGGUGAAGAAGGCCUUCGGGUUGUAAAGCCCUUUUGUUGGGAAAGAAAAGCAGCAGGUUAAUACCCCGCUGUUCUGACGGUACCCAAAGAAUAAGCACCGGCUAACUUCGUG